RNAcentral lists this ribosomal RNA (468 nucleotides) under uncultured bacterium. RNAcentral's name for it is "partial 16S ribosomal RNA". It matches the Rfam family "Bacterial small subunit ribosomal RNA", at positions 28 to 507 of the family's 1533-position model. The record is from RNAcentral.
GACGAACGCUGGCGGCGUGCUUAACACAUGCAAGUCGAACGGAAAGGCCCUGCUUUUGUGGGGUGCUCGAGUGGCGAACGGGUGAGUAACACGUGAGUAACCUGCCCUUGACUUUGGGAUAACUUCAGGAAACUGGGGCUACUACCGGAUAGGAGCUCCUGCUGCAUGGUGGGGGUUGGAAAGUUUCGGCGGUCGGGGAUGGACUCGCGGCUUAUCAGCUUGUUGGUGGGGUAGUGGCUUACCAAGGCUUUGACGGGUAGCCGGCCUGAGAGGGUGACCGGCCACAUUGGGACUGAGAUACGGCCCAGACUCCUACGGGAGGCAGCAGUGGGGAAUAUUGCACAAUGGGCGGAAGCCUGAUGCAGCAACGCCGCGUGCGGGAUGACGGCCUUCGGGUUGUAAACCGCUUUCGCCUGUGACGAAGCGUGAGUGACGGUAAUGGGUAAAGAAGCACCGGCUAACUACGUG